AUCAAUUUAGCAAAAAUGCAACUGAUUUAGGAUCAGUAGAUAUAGGUGAAAAUCCUUUAAUUGAUA
This 66-nucleotide transfer RNA is filed under the name Benthomangelia sp. JEU-2016. Its description in RNAcentral is "tRNA-Leu". It matches the Rfam family "tRNA". Rfam says of the family: Transfer RNA (tRNA) molecules are approximately 80 nucleotides in length. Their secondary structure includes four short double-helical elements and three loops (D, anti-codon, and T loops). The record is from RNAcentral. Lineage: Eukaryota; Metazoa; Mollusca; Gastropoda; Neogastropoda; Conidae.